Molecule: ribosomal RNA, 253 nt
Filed under: uncultured bacterium
Lineage: Bacteria
Description: partial 16S ribosomal RNA
Rfam family: Bacterial small subunit ribosomal RNA
Source: RNAcentral
UACGUAGGGUGCAAGCGUUGUCCGGAAUUAUUGGGCGUAAAGAGCUCGUAGGCGGUCUGUCGCGUCGGCUGUGAAAACCCGGAGCUCAACUCCGGGCCUGCAGUCGAUACGGGCAGACUGGAGUUCGGCAGGGGAGACUGGAAUUCCUGGUGUAGCGGUGAAAUGCGCAGAUAUCAGGAGGAACACCGGUGGCGAAGGCGGGUCUCUGGGCCGAUACUGACGCUGAGGAGCGAAAGCGUGGGGAUCAAACAGG